GACAGAGGCCCCGAGCGUUAGGCGGAAUCACUGGGCUUAAAGCGUGUGUAGGCGGAUUGUUAAGUGUCUUGUGAAAUCCCACGGCUCACCCGUGGAACUGCUGGGCAUACUGGCGAUCUUGGGCCAUUCAGGGGCGACUGGAACAAGCGGUGGAGCGGUGAAAUGCGUAGAUAUCGCUUGGAACGCCGAAGGUGAAAACAGGUCGCUGGGGAUGUGCCGACGCUGAGACACGAAAGCCAGGGGAGCAAACGGG
Molecule: ribosomal RNA, 253 nt
Filed under: uncultured bacterium
Lineage: Bacteria
Description: partial 16S ribosomal RNA
Rfam family: Bacterial small subunit ribosomal RNA
Source: RNAcentral